This 451-nucleotide ribosomal RNA is filed under the name uncultured bacterium. RNAcentral describes it as "bacterial SSU rRNA". It matches the Rfam family "Bacterial small subunit ribosomal RNA", at positions 343 to 791 of the family's 1533-position model. The record is from RNAcentral.
GGGAGGCAGCAGUGAGGAAUAUUGGUCAAUGGGCGCAAGCCUGAACCAGCCAUCCCGCGUGAAGGAAGAAGGCGCUAUGCGUUGUAAACUUCCUUUCCAGAGGAAGAAAAACCCUGAUGUAUCGGGGCUUGACAGUACCCUGGGAAUAAGCAUCGGCUAACUCCGUGCCAGCAGCCGCGGUAAUACGGAGGAUGCAAGCGUUAUCCGGAUUUAUUGGGUUUAAAGGGUGCGUAGGCGGAGUAAUAAGUCAGCGGUGAAAACCUGCAGCUUAACUGUAGAAUUGCCAUUGAUACUGUUAUUCUUGAGUGUGGUCAAGGUAGGCGGAAUGUGUAAUGUAGCGGUGAAAUGCUUAGAUAUUACACAGAACACCGAUUGCGAAGGCAGCUUGCUGGGCCAUUACUGACGCUGAUGCACGAAAGCGUGGGGAUCGAACAGGAUUAGAUACCCCGGU